Brassica rapa (field mustard) is the source of this 1465-nucleotide RNA transcript. It is a transcript of the gene named RNA-binding protein with multiple splicing, with no coding region annotated. The record is from RefSeq and is a predicted model, not a curated record. Lineage: Eukaryota; Viridiplantae; Streptophyta; Magnoliopsida; Brassicales; Brassicaceae.
GGCACACUUGUCCUUCGUUAAUUCUUCCACCCAGCAAAUCGCUCGCUCUCUCUCUCUCUCUCUCUCUCUCUCUCUCUCUUCUCUUAGGGUUUCCUUUCUCUCUCUCCAUCGCUCGCAUGGCCGGCGCCGGAAUCCACCCUUACCACCAGCAGUGGCCGCCUACAGGAGCUCCGCCUCCCCCGUCCGCAGUAUCAUCAGCUCCUCCACCACAUCCCCCUCCUGUACAUCAUCAUCACCCUCCUCCCCCUGGUUUAGCUGAUCGUUCUCCUUAUGACGAGCUCCGGACAAUCUUCAUCGCGGGUCUUCCCGAUGAUGUGAAAGAGAGAGAGCUUCUGAACCUCUUAAGAUGGUUGCCAGGCUACGAGGCAUCUCAGGUGAACUUCAAGGGAGAGAAGCCCAUGGGUUUUGCUCUCUUCUCCACUGCACAGUUUGCAUUGGCUGCCAGAGAUGCCCUUCAGCAUCUGGUGUUUGAUGCGGAGUCAAAGUCUGUGUUACAUGCAGAGAUGGCCAAGAAGAACCUCUUUGUUAAAAGAGGAAUCGUUGGGGAUUCAAAUGCUUAUGAUCAAAGUAAGCGUCUAAGAACUGGUGGUGACUGCACACACUCUGUUUAUAGUCCGUCUCCCUUCCACCCUCCACCACCUCAAGUUUGGGGUCCACCUCAUGGGUAUUUGUCACCCGCAGCUCCACCAUAUGAUCCCUAUGGAGGUUACCAUGCUCCCCCUGUACCAAUGCCUCCGUCUGCACCUAUAGCAGCUCCUAGUUCUUAUGUUCCUGUCCAGAAUGUUAAGGAUAACCCUCCUUGCAAUACCCUAUUUAUUGGUAAUCUCGGGGAGAAUAUACACGAAGAAGAAUUGAGGAGCCUGUUGAGCGCGCAGCCUGGUUUCAAGCAAAUGAAGGUUCUUAGACAGGAAAGGCACACAGUUUGCUUUAUUGAAUUCGAGGAUGUGAAUAGUGCCACAAACGUUCACCAUAAUUUGCAAGGCGCUGUCAUUCCAAGCUCUGGUUCAGUUGGCAUGAGGAUCCAAUUUUCCAAGAAUCCAUAUGGGAAAAGGAAGGAAGGUGGCGGCCAUUCUUUCUUUCCUUCACCGAGCGCUAAUGGAGCUCAAGGAGCCCUGACGUAUCAGUAGGCAGGCCUUGAAGGGGGGAUGUACUCUCUUCUCUAUCUUCCAACAACUGCACGAAUAGGAUGCAUCUUGCAGGCAGUCUGCAUUUGCAUCCAUUUCAUCAUCGACAUUUAUAAGCAUCAGCAUUUGCUUGUUGCCAUGUGAUGGAUGAAUAUAAUGUGUCAUCAUCAACAUAUAACAUGGGCAGCUCGUAUUAGCUUUGCUACAUGCAUCCUCAUGUGUGGUUUUAAAAGUCUGUAGGAGUUUGGGUUUGCCAUUUGGUUGUCUUGUUGCUUCUUUAACGCAUUUGCUUUGUGGGAUUCAUAUGACCAAUCCAUCCCAAUGAAACUCUCAUUUGAUAU